This 216-nucleotide long non-coding RNA is filed under the name Physcomitrium patens. RNAcentral describes it as "long non-coding RNA (PPAT_LNC011943)". The record is from RNAcentral. Lineage: Eukaryota; Viridiplantae; Streptophyta; Bryopsida; Funariales; Funariaceae.
CAGCAUAAACCCGUAUAGGGAGAUUCAAAUACGGGGAAUGACUAGUUGCUUAAGCGUUCACGUUAGGGUCACACAAUCAAUUACCUCCUGAAUGUAUCGUCUCUAUUUCCAAUAUCUGAACACACAAGGAAACUAUAAUCUCUUCCUUCACUUUAUCGAUCUCUUCCUUAUAGCAAUUCAGUCAUACUAAUAACUGCUAUUUCCACCAAUAUAUUC